RNAcentral lists this ribosomal RNA (2341 nucleotides) under Ziziphus jujuba (common jujube). RNAcentral describes it as "eukaryotic LSU rRNA". The stretch from base 1005 to 2339 matches the Rfam family "Eukaryotic large subunit ribosomal RNA", at positions 1889 to 3399 of the family's 3401-position model. Lineage: Eukaryota; Viridiplantae; Streptophyta; Magnoliopsida; Rosales; Rhamnaceae. The record is from RNAcentral.
AUUAUUUAUGUUUAUGCAUUUUAUUUUAUCAUGUAAUGUUUAAGAACAAUAUCCUUUUUCUAAUGCCCUAAGCUCGUUAUCUAGCUUAAAGCCUUUUUUGUCUAGUUGCUGGAAUUGUAUUUCCAGCAACAUAAGUCCAUUUCCUUAGAUUCCGUUUGAAGUAGGUUUAGGAUUUGGAUCUGAAUUUUGGAUAUGAUAAACUAGAUAUGUAGAGGAAGCAGCAGAAAAAUGAAUGGCCCAAUUUGGAGCUGGGAAGGUUGAGUUAAGCCCAAAACAAUCUAACCCUUGUGCAGUUUUGUUGCCCAGAAAACUGGGCAAAACUGCCUCGGGUUUGAUUACUUUUGAAUGGGUAAAUGAAUUUUAUUUUAUCUUAUUUUUGGCUAGAACAUAGUUUAAUAUUCAAAAAGGCUUCCCUCCAAUUUUCAAGUCAAAUGGAGCUGGUUUUCAAAUUCAAAUGCCUUAGACAAGCUGAACUGCCCAUUAAAGAAGGUUUCUUGCAUGCCUAGCACAUUGAUUAGAGUUAGUUGAGGUAGUUUGGCUUGGUUGGUUACUUUUAAUGCUUUUGUAUUUAUUGCUCAAUAUGGCAGCAUGCCUUAUUGUCUUUUUGAUGUAUUUAAAAGUAUGAAAAUUGUAAUGAAAAACGUUGAGAAAGAAAAUAUUCAAAAAAACAGAUUUUGAAAAACAACAUUUUUGGCUCUCUCUCUCUCAACUACUACAUUUUGGUUUCUUCUUCUUCCCAAAAGCUAACAACCUUCUCAAGAACCCUAAACCUCCAUUAAAACCAGAAAACAACCUUAACAAACCCAAAAACAAAAUUAAGAACCAACAACCAACAACAAUCAUUCUUGACUAACACUUUGAAUGAUUGUGCUCUAGGGUACAACAACAUAAACCUACACCAAAUUCCAACACUAAGGCCCUUGAAAAUCUAGAGGACCGAGUGUCGCCCAUGCCUGGUCGUACUCAUAACCAUAUUAGGUCUCCAAGGUGAAGAGCCUCUGGCCAAUGGAACAAUGUGGGCAAGGAAAUUCUGCAAAAUGGAUCCACAAAAGGAUUGACUUUGAGGGCUGGGCACAGGGGUCCCAGUCCCAAACCCGUUGGGUGUCGGUGGAUUGCUCGAGCUGCUCCCACGGGAAGAACAGUUCGCCACGUGCCGACCGAGGGACGGACUAGGAAAAGGUCCCUUUGGGGGCCCAUCCCUAGGCGUCGAAUAGUUGACUCAUAAUUGGUAUGGACAAGGGGAAUCUAAUUGCUUAAUUAAAACAAAGCAUUGCAAUGGUCCCUGCAGAUGCUCAAAGUGAAGAAAUUCAACCAAGCGAUGGUAGGAGUAACGAUGACUCUCUUAAGGUAGCCAAAUGCCUCACCAUCUAAUUAGUGAGGUGCAUGAAUGGAUUAACGAGAUUCCCACAGUCCUAGGUAAAGAAGACCCUUUGGAGCUUGACUCUAGUCCGACUUGGUGAAAUGACUUAAGAGGUGUAGCUAGAAACUGCGAAAGUGAAAUACCACUACUUUUAACGUUAUUUUACUUAUUCCAUGAAUCGGAAGCGGGGCAUUGCCCCUCUUUUUGGACCCAAGGCCUGCCUCGGCUGGCUGAUUCGGUUGGAAGACAUUGCUAGGUGGGGAGUUUGGCUGAGGCGACACAUCUGUUAAAAGAUAACGCAGGUGUCCUAAGAUGAGCUCAACAAGAACAGAAAUCUUGUGUGGAACAAAAGGGUAAAAGCUCAUUUGAUUCUAAUUUCUAGUAUGAAUACGAACCGUGAAAGCAUGGCCUAUCAAUCUUUUAAACCUUCAGAAUUUGAAGCUAGAGUGUCAGAAAAGUUACCACAUGGAUAAUUGGUUUGUGGCAGCUAAGCGUUCAUAGCGAUGUUGCUUUUUGAUCCUUCAAUGUUGGCUCUUCCUAUCAUUGUGAAGCAGAAUUCACCAAGUGUUGGAUUGUUCACCCACCAAUAGGGAACAUGAGCUAGGUUUAGACCAUUGUGAGACAGGUUAAUUUUACCCUACUGAUGAUAGUGUUGCAAUCAUAUUUCAACCUAGUGAUAGGAAACCACUGUGUUCUAGAUUAUGAUUGAACGCUCUAAGUCAGAAUUCGGGCUAGAAGCGAUGCAUGCACUCGUCGCCCGUUUGUCGACCCGCAGUAGGGGCCUCGGCCCCAAAGGCAUGUGUCGUUGGCCAAGCCCGUGUGGUGGACGUACCGUGCGGGCUGCCUUGAAGUUUAAUUCCUAUUGAGCGGCGGGUAGAAUCCUUUGCAGAUGACUUAAAUACACAAUUGGGUAUUGUAAGUGGUAGAGUGGCCUUGCUGCCAUGAUCCACUGAGAUUCAAGCCUACAUUGCUUUGAUUCAC